Sceloporus undulatus (fence lizard) is the source of this 626-nucleotide long non-coding RNA. RefSeq lists it as uncharacterized. The record is from RefSeq and is a predicted model, not a curated record. The transcript has 2 exons. Lineage: Eukaryota; Metazoa; Chordata; Lepidosauria; Squamata; Phrynosomatidae.
GUAAUAUAAUAAUUAUAAUACCUGUCCCUCUUCCCCACAGACCUUUUCCUGUUUUGACAUAAGCAUAUAUUCGUAUGUGAUUUAGAAAACCAGAGAUGAAGACUACUAUGCAGAGGGUCCCUUGGAUUGGGUGCAACUAGGAAGAUACUCAUGGUUGGUGUUACAUACGAUGGCAGCAGCGUUUUACCCUGACUGGGCUGGAAAGAAGACAGAAGAGCAAAUGAGGGAGUUCUUAAACUUCUUUGCAAGAUCCUAUCCUUGUAAAGGAUGCUCAAAUGGCACAAAAAAGAAAGAAUAAUGCAGAACUCACCAGCCGUGUUGGCCAGGCGCACGUUAGCUCUCUGGUUGCGUGAAUUUCACAACGCAGUGAAUGAAAAGCUCAAGAAGCCACAAUUUGAUUGCACUCUUCGGGCGCAACACUGGAAGGAUGGUUGGCACGGCUCUUAUCACUAUAUAAUUGGAACAAACUUGAAUUUGUAUUUUAAAAAUACAGAUUUAAUAAAAGGAAGGGUGAUAUAGACCAUCUGCAUUUUAUACUGGGGUGGCAAAUAUGUUGCCUUUUGUUUUAACUGAAUUGCUUGUAAUUGCAUUUGAAGUUGACUUUUAAAAAAUUGUGUCUAACACUA